GAUGAAUGCUGGCGGCGUGCCUAAUACAUGCAAGUCGAGCGGUAACAGGUCUAGUUUACUAGAUGCUGACGAGCGGCGAACGGCUGAGUAACGCGUGGGAAUCUGCCCCAAAGUGAGGAAUAACUGCCCGAAAGGGUGGCUAAUGCCGCAUAUGGUCUUCGGAUUAAAGUCUUCGGACGCUUUGGGAAGAGCCCGCGUUAGAUUAGGUUGUUGGUGAGGUAAAGGCUCACCAAGCCAUCGAUCUAUAGCUGGUCUGAGAGGAUGAUCAGCCAGACUGGGACUGAGACACGGCCCAG
This 296-nucleotide ribosomal RNA is filed under the name uncultured bacterium. RNAcentral describes it as "partial 16S ribosomal RNA". It matches the Rfam family "Bacterial small subunit ribosomal RNA", at positions 28 to 334 of the family's 1533-position model. The record is from RNAcentral.